UCAUUUCACCUUGAUAUUUCCCUCUGCAUUGUUUCCUGUAAAUGCUCAAUAUUGUGAAUCCUGAGAUGCCUCUGAGUGGCUGUGUGCAGAAGUUCAAUGCAGAAGCAGAACUGGUUAAGGGGACAUGCACCAAAUUAAGUUGGAUGAGUUGGCCUGACACUGCUUUUACAGAACAGACUUUCUUGGUGGCAAUCAGAAGGAAAAUCAGAGUCAGAUAGAGGUGCUCUUUUAUGGGCUAUUAGGUUAAAUGGAGAACAAUAGCCAGUGACGCAACAAGGGAAUUGCAAGAUGAAUGAGUAUCUGGUAUGCAGACUUCAAGUGAAUUGAAAGUUCCAUCUUGAGUUGAGGUUUCAACAAGUGUUCUUCCUGGAUCUGGGUGUCUAGUGAGAUGCUUUCCAAGGAUACAGAAAAUCAGUCAUUGUGAUAACAUAGAUAUUAAGCCGCACAAGUUUGAAACACUUCUGUCAAAGACAUCUGUUCUGCAAGUAUAGGGUGGUCCAAGGCAAUGUAAGAAGGCAGGCUCUGGAUGUAACAACUGUCAAGAAACCCAAUUCCAAACACCAGCUGUACUGAUUAGGGCAGUAUAGUAUUCUGCACUGUGAGAGCUAAUGAGCCAACAGAAAACUAUGAAUUACCAUUAAAGUUGCUUUUAAGCUGUUUCCUUCACAGUGUAUCAGCUAGACAACCUUCCUACUUCCCUGUAACCCAGUACAAAAUCCUCUGUCUGUAUCAUACUCUGCAAGUAUCAUUGAUCAUGAUCUCUAUCAAGCGUUCUUAAGAGUACAGUACCCAUGGUCUGAAGUGAAGAAACAGAUUGACAGAGCCAGAAGAAUAUCCAGAAGUCACUACAGGACAGGCCCAACAAAGAAAGUAACAGAAUGCCACUAACCGUCACCUUCAGCCCCCCUACUAAAACCUCUCCAGCGCAUCAUCAAGGAUCUACAACCUAUCCUGAAGGACGAUCCCUCACUCUCACAGAUCUUGGGAGACAGGCCAGUCCUCACUUACAAACAGCCCCCAACCUGAAGCAAAUACUCACCAGCAACCACACACCACACAACAAAAACACUAACCAAGGAACAUAUCCUUGCAACAAAGCCCGUUGCCAACUCUGUCCACAUAUCUAUUCAAGGGACACCAUCACAGGACCUAAUCACAUCAGCCUCACCAUCAGGGGCUCGUUCACCUGCACAUCUACCAACGUGAUAUAUGCCAGCAUGUGCCAGCAAUGCCCCUCUGCCAUGUGCAUUGGCCAAACUGGACAGUCUCUACGCAAAAGAAUAAAUGGACACAAAUCAGACAUCAAGAAUUAUAACAUUCAAAAACCAGUCAGAGGACACUCAAUUACAGACCUAAAAGUCACAAUUCUUCAACAACAAAAAUCUUCAAAAACAGACUCCAACGAGAAACUGCAGAACUGGAAUUAAUGUGCAAACUGGACACCAUUAAAUUAGGCUUGAAUAAAGACUGGAGUGGAUGGGUCAUUACACAAACUAAAAUUUAUUUCCCCAUGCUAAUUUUCACCUGACUGUUACUCACACCUUCUUGUCAACUGUUUGAAAUGGGCCAUCCUGAUUAUCACUGCAAAAGUUUUUUUUCUCCUGCUGAUAAUAGCCCACCUUAAUUAAUUAGUCUCGUUAGAGUUGGUAUGGCAACCCCCAUUUUUUUGUGUUCUCUGUAUACAUGUAUCUUCCUACUGUAUUUUCCACUGCAUGCAUCUGAUGAAGUGGGUUUUAGCCCACGACAGUUUAUGCUCAAAUAAAUUUGUUAGUUUCUAAGGUGCCACAAGUACUCCUCAUUCUUUUUGAUAACAGAGAGAUACUCUCCAGAUCCAGUUGAGAUGGUUAUACUUCAUAGUUACUAAAGCUUCAAUUUUUCAUUGGAAAUAAUAUUCACUGUAAAUAACAUUCAUAGUAGCCUCCUAUUUUGCUGGCAAAUCAAGCCUGAUUUUGACAUACAUAUGUACUACUGUAUAUUCAUUAUUUGUACAGCAAAUAUUUACCAAAUAGUUUAUUCAAAUACAUUUCAACCUAUGAGUUGUUCAACUUUUUCCUGAUGUCUAUCUACUUCCAACACUUCCACCUGUACUGGGGUUUCAUAUUCUGUUUCCACUGGAUACUGAUACAUUUUCCUCUGUACCUGAUUAACUUUAAAAAUGUAAUUGUCACAUCAUUACUAAAAAUUCACAAAUGGUAUUUAGCCCAGUCUACAAAUUAAUCAAUUUUGAAAGAUUUUCUUGUUUGCUAAAGGUUGUAUAAUUGUUUUUCUGCUUUUUUGUGACUCUUUAUUUAUCCUUUCAUAUAUAUGAA
Molecule: long non-coding RNA, 2309 nt
Organism: Caretta caretta (loggerhead turtle)
Lineage: Eukaryota; Metazoa; Chordata; Testudines; Cheloniidae
Source: RefSeq, a predicted model, not a curated record